UACGUAGGGUGCGAGCGUUGUCCGGAAUUAUUGGGCGUAAAGGGCUCGUAGGCGGUUUGUCGCGUCGGGAGUGAAAACCUCGGCUUAACUCGGGGCUUGCUUUCGAUACGGGCAGACUGGAGGUAUGCAGGGGGAGAACGGAAUUCCUGGUGUAGCGGUGAAAAUGCGCAGAUAUCAGGAGGAACACCGGUGGCGAAGGCGGUUCUCCUGGGCGAUGACCUGACGCUGAGGAGCGAAAGUGUGGGGGAGCGAACAGG
Molecule: ribosomal RNA, 257 nt
Filed under: uncultured bacterium
Lineage: Bacteria
Description: partial 16S ribosomal RNA
Rfam family: Bacterial small subunit ribosomal RNA
Source: RNAcentral